This 806-nucleotide ribosomal RNA is filed under the name Marinifilum flexuosum. RNAcentral describes it as "bacterial SSU rRNA". It matches the Rfam family "Bacterial small subunit ribosomal RNA", at positions 66 to 867 of the family's 1533-position model. Lineage: Bacteria; Pseudomonadati; Bacteroidota; Bacteroidia; Marinilabiliales; Marinifilaceae. The record is from RNAcentral.
GGUAGAUCAGAGAAGUAGCUUGCUACUAGACGACGACCGGCGCACGGGUGAGUAACGCGUAUGCAACCUGCCUUGUACAGGGGGAUAGCCCGGAGAAAUCCGGAUUAAUACCGCAUAACAAUCAUUUUUCGCAUGGGAGAUGAUUUAAACCUUCGGGGGUAUAAGAUGGGCAUGCGUAACAUUAGCUUGUUGGUGAGGUAACGGCUCACCAAGGCGAUGAUGUUUAGGGGGUCUGAGAGGAUAGUCCCCCACACUGGUACUGAGACACGGACCAGACUCCUACGGGAGGCAGCAGUGAGGAAUAUUGGUCAAUGGGCGCAAGCCUGAACCAGCCAUGUCGCGUGCAGGAUGACUGCCCUAUGGGUUGUAAACUGCUUUUUUACGGGAAUAAACCUUUCUACGUGUAGAAAGCUGAAGGUACCGUAUGAAUAAGGAUCGGCUAACUCCGUGCCAGCAGCCGCGGUAAUACGGAGGAUUCGAGCGUUAUCCGGAUUUAUUGGGUUUAAAGGGUCCGUAGGCGGGCGAUUAAGUCAGUGGUGAAAUCUCACAGCUCAACUGUGAAACUGCCAUUGAUACUGGUUGUCUUGAAUUUAGUUGAGGUGGGCGGAAUACGUUAUGUAGCGGUGAAAUGCAUAGAUAUAACGUAGAACACCGAUUGCGAAGGCAGCUCACUAAGCUACUAUUGACGCUGAUGGACGAAAGCGUGGGGAGCGAACAGGAUUAGAUACCCUGGUAGUCCACGCCGUAACGAUGAUUACUCGUUGUGCGCGAUACACAGUGCGCGACUGAGCGAAAGCAUUAAGUAA